Molecule: small nuclear RNA, 105 nt
Organism: Monodelphis domestica (gray short-tailed opossum)
Lineage: Eukaryota; Metazoa; Chordata; Mammalia; Didelphimorphia; Didelphidae
Source: Ensembl
AAACUUCACAGCAGCACAUAUACUAAAAUUAGAAUAAUACUGAGAAAAUUAGCAUGGCUCCAGCACAAGAAUGACUUGAAAAUUCAUGAGUCAUUCCAUAUUUUU